GCUGGCGGCGUGCCUAAUACAUGCAAGUCGAGCGAGCGGAACUAACAGAUUUACUUCGGUAAUGACGUUAGGAAAGCGAGCGGCGGAUGGGUGAGUAACACGUGGGGAACCUGCCCCAUAGUCUGGGAUACCACUUGGAAACAGGUGCUAAUACCGGAUAAGAAAGCAGAUCGCAUGAUCAGCUUUUAAAAGGCGGCGUAAGCUGUCGCUAUGGGAUGGCCCCGCGGUGCAUUAGCUAGUUGGUAAGGUAAAGGCUUACCAAGGCGAUGAUGCAUAGCCGAGUUGAGAGACUGAUCGGCCACAUUGGGACUGAGACACGGCCCAAACUCCUACGGGAGGCAGCAGUAGGGAAUCUUCCACACUGGACGCAAGUCUGAUGGAGCAACGCCGCGUGAGUGAAGAAGGUUUUCGGAUCGUAAAGCUCUGUUGUUGGUGAAGAAGGAUAGAGGUAGUAACUGGCCUUUAUUUGACGGUAAUCAACCAGAAAGUCACGGCUAACUACGUGCCAGCAGCCGCGGUAAUACGUAGGUGGCAAGCGUUGUCCGGAUUUAUUGGGCGUAAAGCGAGCGCAGGUGGAAGAAUAAGUCUGAUGUGAAAGCCCUCGGCUUAACCGAGGAACUGCAUCGGAAACUGUUUUUCUUGAGUGCAGAAGAGGAGAGUGGAACUCCAUGUGUAGCGGUGGAAUGCGUAGAUAUAUGGAAGAACACCAGUGGCGAAGGCGGCUCUCUGGUCUGCAACUGACGCUGAGGCUCGAAAGCAUGGGUAGCGAACAGGAUUAGAUACCCUGGUAGUCCAUGCCGUAAACGAUGAGUGCUAAGUGUUGGGAGGUUUCCGCCUCUCAGUGCUGCAGCUAACGCAUUAAGCACUCCGCCUGGGGAGUACGACCGCAAGGUUGAAACUCAAAGGAAUUGACGGGGGCCCGCACAAGCGGUGGAGCAUGUGGUUUAAUUCGAAGCAACGCGAAGAACCAUACCAGGUCUUGACAUCUAGUGUCAUUUGUAGAGAUACAAAGUUCCCUUCGGGGACGCUAAGACAGGUGGUGCAUGGCUGUCGUCAGCUCGUGUCGUGAGAUGUUGGGUUAAGUCCCGCAACGAGCGCAACCCUUGUUAUUAGUUGCCAGCAUUAAGUUGGGCACUCUAAUGAGACUGCCGGUGACAAACCGGAGGAAGGUGGGGAUGACGUCAAGUCAUCAUGCCCCUUAUGACCUGGGCUACACACGUGCUACAAUGGGCAGUACAACGAGAAGCGAGCCUGCGAAGGCAAGCGAAUCUCUGAAAGCUGUUCUCAGUUCGGACUGCAGUCUGCAACUCGACUGCACGAAGCUGGAAUCGCUAGUAAUCGCGGAUCAGCACGCCGCGGUGAAUACGUUCCCGGGCCUUGUACACACCGCCCGUCACACCAUGGGAGUCUGCAAUGCCCAAAGCCGGUGGCCUAACCUUCGGGAAGGAGCCGUCUAAGGCAGGGCAGAUGACUGG
This 1475-nucleotide ribosomal RNA is filed under the name uncultured organism. Its description in RNAcentral is "SSU rRNA". It matches the Rfam family "Bacterial small subunit ribosomal RNA". The record is from RNAcentral.